RNAcentral lists this ribosomal RNA (282 nucleotides) under Klebsiella pneumoniae. RNAcentral's name for it is "partial 16S ribosomal RNA". It matches the Rfam family "Bacterial small subunit ribosomal RNA", at positions 1 to 277 of the family's 1533-position model. The record is from RNAcentral. Lineage: Bacteria; Pseudomonadati; Pseudomonadota; Gammaproteobacteria; Enterobacterales; Enterobacteriaceae.
ACUUAAAUUGAAGAGUUUGAUCAUGGCUCAGAUUGAACGCUGGCGGCAGGCCUAACACAUGCAAGUCGAGCGGUAGCACAGAGAGCUUGCUCUCGGGUGACGAGCGGCGGACGGGUGAGUAAUGUCUGGGAAACUGCCUGAUGGAGGGGGAUAACUACUGGAAACGGUAGCUAAUACCGCAUAAUGUCGCAAGACCAAAGUGGGGGACCUUCGGGCCUCAUGCCAUCAGAUGUGCCCAGAUGGGAUUAGCUAGUAGGUGGGGUAACGGCUCACCUAGGCGAC